UACGUAGGGUGCGAGCGUUGUCCGGAUUUAUUGGGCGUAAAGGGUGCGUAGGCGGUUCGUUAAGUCUGUUGUGAAAUCCCCGGGCUCAACCUGGGAAUGGCAAUGGAUACUGGCGGGCUAGAGUGUGUCAGAGGAUGGUGGAAUUCCCGGUGUAGCGGUGAAAUGCGUAGAGAUCGGGAGGAACAUCAGUUGCGAAGGCGGCUCUCUGGACCAGCACUGACACUGAGGCACGAAAGCGUGGGGAGCAAACAGG
This 253-nucleotide ribosomal RNA is filed under the name uncultured bacterium. RNAcentral's name for it is "partial 16S ribosomal RNA". It matches the Rfam family "Bacterial small subunit ribosomal RNA", at positions 524 to 776 of the family's 1533-position model. The record is from RNAcentral.